GUGCCUCUGCGGUGCUUGUAAGCUUACUUAUAAAACCCUUGAGCCUUACUCAUCGACCCCGGGAAUGUGUCUGCCGGUGCUGUGUGCAUUACCGCUUUAUGCGGGAAGCCUUAUACAUCGACGCUAGUUCCCACCUGAACUUCUGGUUCAAGGUUCGUGAGAAAAGCUACGGCAGUUGUGGUAGCACC
This 188-nucleotide non-coding RNA is filed under the name endosymbiont of Galathealinum brachiosum. RNAcentral's name for it is "6S / SsrS RNA". It matches the Rfam family "6S / SsrS RNA". Rfam says of the family: E. coli 6S RNA was the first non coding RNA to be sequenced, but its function was unknown until recently. The record is from Rfam by way of RNAcentral. Lineage: Bacteria; Pseudomonadati; Pseudomonadota; Gammaproteobacteria.